AAUAGGCUAAUUAAGAGCGUAAGGGGGAUACCUUGGCUCUCAGAGGCGAUGAAGGACGUGAUAAGCUGCGAUAAGUUACGGGGAAUGGCACAGACAUUUUGAUCCGUAAAUUUCCGAAUGGGGCAACCCGGCAUAUUGAAGAUAUGUCACACUGUAAAGUGAGCAAACCUGGUGAACUGAAACAUCUAAGUAACCAGAGGAAUAGAAAACAAAAGUGAUUCCGCUAGUAGUGGCGAGCGAACGCGGAAUAGCCCAAACCUAAAUUGUUACGGCAAUUUAGGGUUGUAGGACCUCAACAUUUAAUGCUAUAGAACUAGAAUUUACUGGAAA
RNAcentral lists this ribosomal RNA (330 nucleotides) under uncultured Flavobacteriaceae bacterium. RNAcentral's name for it is "bacterial LSU rRNA". It matches the Rfam family "Bacterial large subunit ribosomal RNA", at positions 1 to 348 of the family's 2925-position model. Lineage: Bacteria; Pseudomonadati; Bacteroidota; Flavobacteriia; Flavobacteriales; Flavobacteriaceae. The record is from RNAcentral.